ACCUAUAAAUAAUGGCCUUUAUGUUAACAGCUGUUAUUUGAAACCAUGAUUAGAAAGUAUUUCAAAAACAUUCCCAAAAUAAAUCCACCAGUGGAUGAACCAAGAUGGAAAAUUGGUUGGAUAGGAUUUUGUAAAGAAGAAAACCACGAACGUGCCCAAUUACAAAUAAAGAUGGUAUUGUGCCAGGCAAAUUUGUAAUUAAAAUAGUUAUAAGAGUGAGGUGAAAAAGGAAUAGAAAAUGUUUUCCAUGUGUACAAAUUCUAAUUUUAAUCUGACACAGUUGAAAUUAGAAUCCGACACAGAUUCUGAUUCCAAAAAGAUCAAAAGUAUGUUCAAGUUCAUUGGAUUUUAAACCAACUAACAUUAGUUUAUAAAACUUUUGAGUUCUGUAAGGGCGUUUAGAAAUAAAAUACUGAUUGAACUGGAAAAGUUCUUGUAUAACCUUUUGGUAAUUCAGAUUUCUUCCAUUGAAGAUUUGAAAUAUGCUUAGCUGCCAAUUUAGUAAAAUAUUUGGUGUAAUAAAAAAAUUUAUUUGGAUAGUUACUUAAUGCUUGUAAAUAAUUUGUGCCAAAUUUAGUUUGAGAGAGAUGGUUUUGAGGAUGAAAAGGUUGGGAAACAAGUAAUUUGAAACAUUUGAAUGUAAAAUUUGAAAUCUAUUCUCGGUAGGAAUAGAGCUUUAUGCGUAAUCACUACUGGAUACUUUUUUCUUAAUGGA
This 715-nucleotide unclassified non-coding RNA is filed under the name Hevea brasiliensis (rubber tree). Lineage: Eukaryota; Viridiplantae; Streptophyta; Magnoliopsida; Malpighiales; Euphorbiaceae. The record is from RNAcentral.